AGCCUUGUAGUGAAAUUCACAUCGGAUUGCAACUCCGGAAAUGAAGAGAGGACCUUCCGGGGCUU
Non-coding RNA from Callorhinchus milii (elephant shark), 65 nucleotides. The record is from Ensembl. Lineage: Eukaryota; Metazoa; Chordata; Chondrichthyes; Chimaeriformes; Callorhinchidae.